RNAcentral lists this long non-coding RNA (335 nucleotides) under Equus caballus (horse). RNAcentral's name for it is "lncRNA (ENSECAG00000050521.1)". The record is from RNAcentral. Lineage: Eukaryota; Metazoa; Chordata; Mammalia; Perissodactyla; Equidae.
GUGAGGACAUAGUGGGAAGAUGGCCAUGUGUGGGUCUGGAAGUGGCCCCCACCAAACACUGAAUCUGCCAGCACCUUGAUCUGAGACUUCCCAGCCUCCAGAACCGGUGAAGUGAGCAUAGGAAAACCAAGCCCAGCUGACUUUUGGGGAACAGAAAAACAUCAUUCUGAAGAGUGGUACCACAUCCAAGUGUUUAUAGAUAUGAGCAUAGACAUGGAUGAGAAAUGGACACGAUAUUAACUUCACUUCAGCGAGGCCUGGCCUGCACCUUGUCAACUGCAGGUUUUUGGACAUCAGUGGCAUAAAAACACGAUGUGACCCAGGGCAGCCUCGGG